This is a long non-coding RNA of Fukomys damarensis (Damara mole-rat), 437 nucleotides long. RefSeq lists it as uncharacterized. NCBI's taxonomy places the organism in Eukaryota, Metazoa, Chordata, Mammalia, Rodentia, Bathyergidae. The record is from RefSeq and is a predicted model, not a curated record. The transcript has 3 exons.
AGAUACUUCAUGUCUGCCAAACAGUUUUGAGCCAAUAUUCCUUCCCUCAUAUUCUUCUGACCAGCAUAGUGAGCCUUGGUGGAACGCUCCCCGACCAGUCAUCUCGGUAGAAGACCUCCAAAGUGAUAUAGGGGGAACAGAUGUAACUCUCAAUCCUGCUAGAUAUCCAAAACGAUUGGCUCCAAGGAGAAGUAUAAUGAAAAGGAAAUAGGAAAGGCAGAAGAAAGCUCUUCAUCCCAUAGCAGCCAAGGGGAAGAGAGAGGAAGAAAGGAAAAUCCAGAGAAAGAAUGCACCCUUUCGUGCACAGUCCAGUAACCCAUCCUUCCAACCAGGCGGUACCACUAAACAGCACAGGAACUAAUGAACUCACUGAUACAUGAAUCCACUGAUGAGUAUAGCACCUACAUUAUUCCAUCACCUACAAAACAAAAUUUUUA